This is a long non-coding RNA of Nerophis ophidion (straightnose pipefish), 1313 nucleotides long. RefSeq lists it as uncharacterized. The transcript is spliced from 3 exons. Lineage: Eukaryota; Metazoa; Chordata; Actinopteri; Syngnathiformes; Syngnathidae. The record is from RefSeq and is a predicted model, not a curated record.
UUAAAACAUUAAUGUUGUAGGUAUAAGUGAUGUGUUGUUUUUAGUAUUUUUUCCAUGCACAAUUUUGUUAAGUAAGGAUUAGAGCGUCGAAUGUUUGAAAUGUUUGGUCAUAAUUACACAUGGAAUUUACACAGGUAUCACUCCGCCAGAAAAGUAGAGACCUGUUUAUGUGUUUCGUGUUUCCAUAACAGGUAUCACUCCGCCAGAAAAGUAGAGACCUGUUUAUGUGUUUCCAAAACAGGGGGCAUGUGGUGAGACGCAGCCAACGGGCCGACAGUGGGCUGAGAGAAACGGUCCUGACCAAGAUGGAGGCCAGGAGGCGGGGCAUGCGGCAGAGAGGAGAGGCGUGACGCACGCGGAGCAGCACGGGAGCAGCAAUCUGAGUCAGGUGCGUACAACACACACCUGCUCACAAUCUCUCCAUCUGCUGCUACAGCAUAAGAAGGGCGAGGGAGGAAUGACCAGUGCAGAAGACAGAGGAGGAACUGCAGCUGACGACAACGACGAGAGCGACCCGGAAAAAGAUGAGCCCCCGCGGAAGACGCAGCAGCCGCCCACCGAAAGGCGCGCCAAAACGAGCAGCCAAAAAGGUUGCGCUAGAAAGUGGCGCGACCGAUUGGGACACGACGCAGUUUGUUGAAAGGAUAAACGAGUAUCAACCUUGCUACGAGGUGUCUUGCAUCCAUGGUCCUUACAACCCACACGGUGAUGGCAGGAAGUCCGUCACAGGGUACAUCACUGAGGUUGAGAACCACUGCUUUUCCAUCUGGCAAUCUGAUGGAUGAGUCUGGGUUUGGAGGUUGCCAAGAAAACGCUACAUUUCGGACUGCAUUGUGCCAAGUAUGAAAUUUGGUGGAGGAGGUAUUAUGGUGUGGGGUUGUUUUUUCAGGAGUUGGGCUCGACACCUUAGUUCCAGUGACAGGAAUUUCAAAUGCUCCAGGAUACCAAAACAUUUUGGGCAAUUCCAUGGGAUGUCACUUUAAGUUCAUAAGUGUUUAAAGGCAGGUGGCCAAAUUAUUUUGGCAAUAUAGUGUAGAUCGGUUACGUCAUCGAUCUACAACUACCACCAUAAUAAAUACAUCUUUAGAUGAAUACUUCUCUGUUAGUGUCAAAACUAAAGGAUUACUUGUGGUAAAUGCAGAAUAUUUGACACAGUACAGCGCUUUCAUUGGAUUCCAGAAGUGCACAGUGUUAGUUUAUGCACGUUGACAUUUUAAGCAGUCAGUGUGGCUUGUUCAGCACUCUGUAUUCCAUUAAAAUGGACAAAAUUUAAUGUCAUAACAAAGUUGUACGCUAUACCCCAGCAAAACACC